UACAGAGGUCUCAAGCGUUGUUCGGAUUCAUUGGGCGUAAAGGGUGCGUAGGUGGCGCCAUAAGUCAGGUGUGAAAUCUCGGGGCUUAACUCCGAAACUGCAUUUGAUACUGUGGUGCUUGAGGACUGGAGAGGAGACUGGAAUUUACGGUGUAGCAGUGAAAUGCGUAGAGAUCGUAAGGAAGUCCAGUGGCGAAGGCGGGUCUCUGGACAGUUCCUGACACUGAGGCACGAAGGCCAGGGGAGCAAACGGG
Molecule: ribosomal RNA, 253 nt
Filed under: uncultured bacterium
Lineage: Bacteria
Description: partial 16S ribosomal RNA
Rfam family: Bacterial small subunit ribosomal RNA
Source: RNAcentral